UAGAUUUGUUGUCAGUUCUAGCUUUUUUGCAUGAAGAAUAAGUCCAUUAACUUGACAGAUUUGAAGCCUCUUCUAACUUCUUUGGAGUAGAUAUUCCCUACUGAAAGUUUUGGAUUUGAUUUGUUGUUCAAUUUGCUGAGAAGUCUUACUUGGGGACAGGUAAUUGACAACAGCAGAGAUGUUUCCUAUUCCUAGGAUUCUAAAUCUAAUUAUAACCCCAGUGUACUCACAGGAUUUUAAAAUUCUCUCCGAAAUAGGAAGGAAAUAUCCUGUUACUUUCUAAUGUUUGCUAAAAGUUGUCUUUAGAAAAGCUGAUCUAAGUUUUCAAGUAAUCUCUACCCCCAACAUGGGGCUCAAACCCAUGGCCCCCACAUCAAGAGUCACAUGCUCCUCCAACUGAACCAGCCAGGCGCCCCCUAGAAAAGCUGAUCUUAAUAGGUAUCUUCCUUUGUCAUGUGUCAUUAGCCUUUUGUCAACUUACAUUAGAGCUCUUAAAAAGAGAGAGGGAUGAGGCAUGGUGAAAAACCUGUUACUUUGAAAGAAAGUGAGAGGAAUAAUUAACUGUUUUUGCGGAGUUCACAGCCCCAAAAUUAAUCUAGAACCAACUAAUAGCACCAAUAAAAAUAUUUACUUAGGACUUCUUAUAUUACAGGAAAUGUUCUAAGCAUUUUACAUACAUUUUUCAUUUAAUUCAUAAGUCAUCACUGUGAGAUAACGUAUUUAUUUUGUCCUCAUUUUCCAGAUGAGGAAAUAAAUCCCUGGAAGGUUAAAUGACAGGUUAUAUAAGCUGGGGCAGAGGAAGUGGGAAAGAAGAACCUGAAUAAGAUGAGGAGGAGGGGAUCUUGAGUUUUAUUUGGGUGGAUGUAGGCACACUUUUUUUUCUUUUUUUGCUUAGACACCAAACAUUUCAGUUAUCAUAUUCAAAGGUAACAGCACUGAUUCACCCACUGAAAGUUGUUCACAGUAAUCAGGAUGAAUUUACUGUCUUUAGACAUCCUUAGUCUUUUCACUUUCUCCAGUACUGUCUGUGGAAGCUGGUUUGAGGAGAGGCUCAUUUGUUUGUGGUUAAGGAUAUUGUCUGUCCUAAGGGUAGAAAUGCCCCUUCUAGGGAUGGAGUCUUUAGUCUUAUUGGUUAGCCUCCUUAUAUUCCUCAAAACAUUUGGACCUGAUUGUUUUUGAGUAAUUGUUCCAAAAUUUUGGAUAUUUUCCCUCUGGAAAAUAUCCUAAGGUUUAAAAUUUCAUCUGAAUUUAAAAAGUUGUUAAAUUUUCUUUUUAAGGGAGGGUUUGGGGAGCAAUCAGGAAUUUGGGUUUCCUCUCAUGGAUAGAGAUAAAAUUAGCCAUUUUCCUCAAGAAAAGUGAUACUUCUGAAUCCCAGCUCUUCGUUAAUGAGAACUGGACUGUUUUCACUUGACCUCUACUUCCUGUUGGUGGGAAACAGAGGUGCUGUGAGAAAGAUUGCUGGAGAAGGGUUUCUAGAUCUCAGAAUAAGUUCAAGAGUCUGGCAAUAUUGUCAUUAGAAUAAUGGUCUUCAUAAGCACUAGUUUUCAUGAUCCUAAAGCUUCAUUCUUAACACCCUUUGAAAGGCUGUAAAGUAGGAAAGGCUAAACUGGGGAGGAGGAAAACUUAGUAGAUAAAUUACAUAGACCUUGAGGUGAUUCUGUGCUCAAGAAGCAGAGACGUGGAGUCACUGAAUGAAAAUGAAAGAACAGGCAGUGUCUACGGUCAGAACUGAAAGGUUUUAGUUUACCUAGUUAAUUCCUUAGAUUUACAUCUUAGUUCCCUCCUUAUCUUGCAUGUGCAUAUAAACUUAGGCUUACUGAGCCAUUUUAUUUUUCUCCCCAAAUAAGACUAAUUUUAUAGGAGACAUAGGGGCCACUGCAGCAGCUUAGCUGAGGAACGUAUGAGAAACUGUUCAUUUUCUGUCCCCUCCUGUCUUAGGCUGAUCUGUCCCUUGAUGUGCUACCUGCUUCUGCUACCGACCCAUACUGCAGACUUCUCAUUCAUCCCCAAGGCCUCCAAGCAAUGUCCAAUAGGGAAUCGACUCUAAAAGGAACCAGACCAGACCAGACCAGACCAAAAAGGUGUGCAGCCCUUUCAUUGUGGUGAUUGAGGGAAGGAAAGAAUGGGAGGGGGUAUACAUGUGUAGUGGAUGGAAGGGAAACAGACUGUCAAAUUACUAUAUCUCUUCAGUUUCUUUUAGAAUAGAAUUCUGCAACCAUACUAUCACUACUGUGUAAAUAUAGGGGAAGUUCAAGAUGGUGACCUUGAUUAGAAUAUGUCUGGAGAGGAAUAAAUGGAGUGUGUGAGAUAAGAGACCAUUGGUUAUGAAAGAUGUUGAAGUCCUGAAAUAAUGUGACCAUCUGAGGAAUUUUUUUAAGCCAGAGUUUAUAAAAAUAUCACCAAUACAGCCUGCCCCCUCACUGCCCGCCACAGGAGACUUCUUGGACUGGAGACAUUUGUUUAAUAAUAGCUUGUCUCUGAUAUUCCCAGUAGCUACCUCUCUGAGGAGAGGAUAGCAAACAAACGUUCAGGACAUCAUCCUACAAAGUUCCAGUAGCAGUGACGCCUACACGGAAGACUUGGAACUGCAAACAGAGGCUGGGGUCACCUCAGUGACAUCUGACGCCGUCCAACCACAAGUUCGAUUUUUGUUCUGUGGGGCGAGAAAGACUGUACUAAAAGACAAAAAUAAUUUCUUAUCUAUACU
RNAcentral lists this long non-coding RNA (2707 nucleotides) under Lynx pardinus (Iberian lynx). Lineage: Eukaryota; Metazoa; Chordata; Mammalia; Carnivora; Felidae. The record is from RNAcentral.